ACUCUCUCUACUCACAUCUAAACCAGUCAAAUUAAAAAAAGGAAACCUAACAUCACUCCCCCUCUGCUCUUUCAACACUCCUCUCCCAAAAUACAGAGGCUCCGCCAUUUCCAAAACAAAAAAAAUAGCAUGUCUCGCAUGCCUCGCUUCUCAUCCAUGAUCUACCGUUGGUUUUGAGCAGAUUCUAUAAUAUCCGUUGAUUUGAACGCGUCUAAAAUCAGUGUUAUUCUAUCACAACAUUGAUUGUUCCUUACACCUUCAAUGUCGCGGUUGGUAGUUUUUUUAUGUAUCUGGUAUUGAAGCCUUGGGUAAGAAAAUCGACAAAGUCGAACAGGGACUUCAAGAGAUGAUAACUAGCGAGUUGUUGGUGCUUCUUACUGACAAAGACCCGGUUAUGAUUCAAAACUUAAAAGGAAUAAAGUAAGAUUAUUCAGUGAUACGAUCUGGAAUUGGAUAGGAAAUUGAAUGCUUAUGAGAUUGGUACAUAAUUCUGAGAUAUGAAUACUUAACAAUUGGAUAGAAGUUAAUUACAAGUAUUAGAAAAUUACAUUUUAGUCCAAUUAUCUAUUUAGUAGAAGAAGUACUAUUUACACGUUGUAUUUUCUAUUUUAUAGUCUUGAUCCUGGUCCUCUAGAUAUCAAGUGGGCAUUUGUAAGGAGCUAAGCUUCCAUUUUAUAUCAUGAAUGAAAUUAUACUUUACUUUUUGCCCUAGUUUUCCUUUCUUUUCUUAGCUUAGUUUAGCCGUAGUUAGCUUUUAUUCCUUUGAAUUUUAGCUUUUCGUAUCAGCGGAAUCAGAGCGUCGAACUUGCUCUGUGGGUAUUCUUGAAGAGAUGACAUCGGAUAUGGAGAAGAUAAGAGAGUUGGUGCCUUGGUGGAAAAAUUAAAUUCCCAAAUAUCCAGUUUAAAUAGCAUUUAUGACAGAAUGGAGAAUAGAUUAAGGGACAAUAGAUUAAUGAGAUUU
Molecule: long non-coding RNA, 961 nt
Filed under: Nicotiana benthamiana
Lineage: Eukaryota; Viridiplantae; Streptophyta; Magnoliopsida; Solanales; Solanaceae
Description: long non-coding RNA (NBEN_LNC015468)
Source: RNAcentral